Molecule: long non-coding RNA, 414 nt
Filed under: Fukomys damarensis (Damara mole-rat)
Lineage: Eukaryota; Metazoa; Chordata; Mammalia; Rodentia; Bathyergidae
Description: lncRNA (ENSFDAG00000026314.1)
Source: RNAcentral
AUAGAGUAAAAUAGAAAAAGUUUUUCUUUGAGAUCUGUGAUUUUAAGUAAAACUUGAAAACACAAAAUGACAUGUGAAAUAAAAGGCUCAUCUAAUCCAGGUCAGAAUAUAGAAAUGAAUUAAACCUCCACUGUACUGUGGACCCUGGAACAAAACAUCUCUGAGAGAACAAAUACAUCCAAAAUAAGGCAGAUAUUUGGGACUCAACUCCGCAAACUGUGUCCAAGAAGACUAAGCUACUGUCAAAGAGUAACAACCAGUAAUUGUGAGACAGCCCACAAGUGGGAAGGUUGCACAAAACAGGAUAGGCUUCAAGCUGAAGUGCUAUGGCUGAAACACAGGAUUCCAAAUCAUAACAAUAUUUGAAAAUGGAAUCUAAAUGAAAUAUGAAGGAAUAUUCACAUAACUUGGGAA